RNAcentral lists this unclassified non-coding RNA (260 nucleotides) under Hevea brasiliensis (rubber tree). Lineage: Eukaryota; Viridiplantae; Streptophyta; Magnoliopsida; Malpighiales; Euphorbiaceae. The record is from RNAcentral.
AGAGAGAGAGAGAGAGAGGAAACCAAAUUACUCUUUGGUGCAGUGUCACUUAUUUCUAUUGCAGGCUUUUUAGGGCCCAUCUCUUCCCUUUCUCUGUCCUCCUCGCCACCUUUCGUCAUCUGCUUCAAUCAUCAUAAUUAAAAUAUCUGGAUUCUCUGUUCAACAUUCUGUUCAUGGCAGGUCUUCUGAGCACCAAUUUUCAGAGAAAAGUCCUUUCCUUUGCUCUUUUAGCUAUUUUAAGACGACAAGCUAAUGGGAUG